GCCGCCAUUUUGUUAGGUUAUUUUUGCCGGCUGGAUAGUGCUCAGUGUUCAGUGCUGCUUUUUAAUUUUAUUAAUUGUGUUACUACUUUAGUGGUGUUAUAUUAAAAUGGAUGAAUACCAGAAUGAUUUUGAUAUGCUAAGGCAUACAGGAGGAGGCAAAAAAUGGGACUACGUCAACUGCAGUUUGGAAACAAUCUUCUCGGAUUACUUGGUACCAGUUGGGGCAUUAUUGCUCCUGAAUGAGGAAAAAACAAUUUCAAAUUGUCUACCCCAAUGCUGAAGAAAGUUAUAAAACGUGCUGUAAGGCAGACAUUUCCAAUCGUAAUGGAGGAAAAUUUCGAGAUAUGUAAUGGAUUCAUGACGCCGCUGGGAUCCAACUCAAGAGACAUUAAACUACUGUUACACAGUGCAUGUUGGUAAAAUUUUCUAAAAAACAAGAUUUAUAAAUUAGUUACUUAGUUAUUCUAUGCGCCAUUUUUAACAAAAUAAGUUCCUGUACUAUAAGACUAACCAAAAUAUCCCCAUACGAGCAAAAAGUGGUACGAUAUAAACUUGGAGGAAAUAUAGUAGAGGACAUUAUAGCGUUUGGGGUCAUAAUAAUUACCACAGAACCGAAGUUUGGUUUUUUUUAGUUCUUUGUGAGUGUAUUUUUGACGACCGGUCAGGCGCAGUCGGUAGUGACCCUGCCUGCUACGCCGCGGUCCCGGG
Molecule: long non-coding RNA, 708 nt
Organism: Leguminivora glycinivorella
Lineage: Eukaryota; Metazoa; Arthropoda; Insecta; Lepidoptera; Tortricidae
Exons: 3
Source: RefSeq, a predicted model, not a curated record